Molecule: ribosomal RNA, 370 nt
Filed under: uncultured cyanobacterium
Lineage: Bacteria; Bacillati; Cyanobacteriota
Description: bacterial SSU rRNA
Rfam family: Bacterial small subunit ribosomal RNA
Source: RNAcentral
CGAAAGCCUGACGGAGCAAUACCGCGUGAGGGAGGAAGGCUCUUGGGUCGUAAACCUCUUUUCUCAGGGAAGAACAAAAUGACGGUACCUGAGGAAUAAGCAUCGGCUAACUCCGUGCCAGCAGCCGCGGUAAUACGGAGGAUGCAAGCGUUAUCCGGAAUGAUUGGGCGUAAAGCGUCCGCAGGUGGCUAUGUAAGUCUGCUGUUAAAGCGUCUAGCUCAACUAGAUAAAAGCAGUGGAAACUACAAGGCUAGAGUACGUUCGGGGCAGAGGGAAUUCCUGGUGUAGCGGUGAAAUGCGUAGAGAUCAGGAAGAACACCGGUGGCGAAGGCGCUCUGCUAGGCCGUAACUGACACUGAGGGACGAAAGC